UCCAGAGCACUAUAUGUUUUUAUUGUAACAACUUUGGGGCCUGAAAUAUAUUCAUGCAGGUAUCCUUCGAAUUGAGUUUUUGGCGUUUGCAGGUAUGGCCGUAUGGGUCCUAAAGGAGGAAUUAGCAACUCUGAAAUUGACUCUGGUAAGCCUGAUUUGCUCUCUUGCUUGGCUGCUUUGCUUCUUUUGGGUCGGAAUUUCUGUGGCACCCCUUGUAUACUGUUGUUGUAGAUGGUUCUUAAACUUUCGGUCUGGUUUGUAUUGCUGGUGUGUUCAUAUAUAUGACCCUGUAACUGUAAAUGUGUUUGAAGGAGGAAUAAACAACUGUGAAAUUGACUCUUGGAGUCUCAUGAUGCUUUCGCAUUUACAUUAAGGUAUCUCCGGAUAAUAAAACUACGUAUCUUGUUAUUUGAUUGCAAAAGCAUAUGUAGGUUUAGUGUAUGAAAUUAACUGCUU
RNAcentral lists this long non-coding RNA (456 nucleotides) under Medicago truncatula (barrel medic). RNAcentral describes it as "long non-coding RNA (MTRU_LNC004345)". Lineage: Eukaryota; Viridiplantae; Streptophyta; Magnoliopsida; Fabales; Fabaceae. The record is from RNAcentral.